GAUGAACGCUGGCGGCGUGCCUAAUACAUGCAAGUCGAGCGAACAGACGAGGAGCUUGCUCCUCUGACGUUAGCGGCGGACGGGUGAGUAACACGUGGAUAACCUACCUAUAAGACUGGGAUAACUUCGGGAAACCGGAGCUAAUACCGGAUAAUAUAUUGAACCGCAUGGUUCAAUAGUGAAAGACGGUUUUGCUGUCACUUAUAGAUGGAUCCGCGCCGCAUUAGCUAGUUGGUAAGGUAACGGCUUACCAAGGCAACGAUGCGUAGCCGACCUGAGAGGGUGGUCGGCCACACUGGAACUGAGACACGGUCCAGACUCCUACGGGAGGCAGCAGUAGGGAAUCUUCCGCAAUGGGCGAAAGCCUGACGGAGCAACGCCGCGUGAAUGAUGAAGGUCUUCGGAUCGUAAAACUCUGUUAUUAGGGAAGAACAAAUGUGUAAGUAACUAUGCACGUCUUGACGGUACCUAAUCAGAAAGCCACGGCUAACUACGUG
Molecule: ribosomal RNA, 497 nt
Filed under: uncultured bacterium
Lineage: Bacteria
Description: partial 16S ribosomal RNA
Rfam family: Bacterial small subunit ribosomal RNA
Source: RNAcentral